AAAAAUAUCAGUUGACGGAUAUUGAUGGAAAUAUUUUUCCAAAUUUUGGAAACCACGUAUAUUGGAAUAUCCGGAUAUUUUAAACCUCGAAGAAACUUCAAAUGCACCUUCUCGUUGUCCAUUCAAAGAGGGCACAGUGUUUUUUGUCUUGUACUAAAAUGUACAUUGUCCGAUACAAGCUAAUAAAUUAAACUUGGGAAGAAAAAAAAAAAUUGGGGGAAUGGGAAAAUGAAAAAUAAAUGUGAAAUUAAAAAAAAUAAAGAGCGACUUGAGAGACGACUUACUUUGUAGGAAUGGGAUACUCCGGGAAAAACUUGGCCAAAAUUUCAACGACAUCGCCGCGGUGAAGCACGCUCUCGGCACAGAGGUAGCGGCCGGAGGCAGAGGGAGCUUCGAAAACGAGGAUGUGGGCGAGGGCUACGUCCUUAACGUGGACAUAGGCUUGAACGGAGUUUGCAUAUGUUUUGGCGGAGCCGGUGAGGUACUUGAGGAUGUGAAUAAUGCUGGCAUUAACAGUGGAUUGAAGCAAUGGUCCUAGCACCAGCACUGGGUUCACCACCACAAGGUCCACCUCUUUCUCCUUCGCAACCUCCCAUGCCGCCUGCUCCGCCACCGCCUUUCCGUAACAAUACCAAUUCUGCAUUUUCCUCUCAGUUAAUCAAAAAUCUUGUUUUUGGGUGAGUCAAAUUUUAUUUUAGUGCCGUUCCGUUACCUUUGGGACAUGAAAGACAAGUCUGAUGAUUAUAGGUUGAAGAAGAAGCGAAAAUGUUGAAAAAAAAUGAUGAAAAUUAGGGGUAAAUAGUGUUGAAGAAAAAAAGAUAGGUGGGAAGACCUUGGUGUUCUUGCAGAAUUCAAGAUCACUCCAACAGCUCUCGUCCACAACUUGAUCUGGGCUCCUGUUGGGGUCCAUGUACACUGCUCCAAUCGAUGAUGUGAACACCACUCUCCGGACUUUGGCCUCAGCCGCUGCUAUUAUCACAUUCUUUGUUCCAUUCACGGCUGGUUCCACCAUCUCUUCCUUCAAAAAUCAACAAACAUAAUCAUCUCUUUGUUUGGUCACUAAGACAAUCCUGAAUACCAUUGACUGGUACAAAGGGACCACUUUCAACUUUGUUGGUGGGAAUGAUUGUCAUUGCUUACACCAACUACCAACGCACCAAAUAUAAAAUUCCUUAUUUUUUCUUUCUUUUUUCCUCGGGGAAAACAGAGAUAAGAACUCACUGGAUCAUCGGUGACAGGAGAAGCAGUGUGGAAAACUCCAUGGCACCCAUUGAUGGCCUCUUUCAGACUCUCAUAAUCCAUAAGAUCAGCUUUGCAUAAAAUCAAUCUCUCCUUUGCUCCUUCAAGCUCUCUCAAAUGAGAAUUCUUUGGAUCAUCUGUAAUCCCAUAAAAAUAAAAUUAAAAAAAAAGAGUAUUGUUACAGAAAUGGCGCAAGCCUCAGAGGUAUGCCUCUUCAAUGCCACAAAUGAGACCUUAGCUCACUAGAAAUCACAUCACAUGUGUCUACCCACCUGGAUUUCUAACAGUUCCUUUAACAGUAUAGCCCCUUUCAAGAAGCAGCUUGACGAUCCAUGAGGCGAUGAAGCCGCCGGCGCCGGUGACGCAAACGAUUUGGCCGGAGCUGGAAGGGGAAGAGGCGUCAAUGGGCAUGAUUGGGAAGAGUGGUUGGUGG
This 1672-nucleotide long non-coding RNA is filed under the name Vitis vinifera (wine grape). RNAcentral's name for it is "long non-coding RNA (VVIN_LNC002911)". The record is from RNAcentral. Lineage: Eukaryota; Viridiplantae; Streptophyta; Magnoliopsida; Vitales; Vitaceae.